Molecule: long non-coding RNA, 1983 nt
Organism: Alosa alosa (allis shad)
Lineage: Eukaryota; Metazoa; Chordata; Actinopteri; Clupeiformes; Clupeidae
Exons: 2
Source: RefSeq, a predicted model, not a curated record
CUGUUUGUACACAAUGAUGAAGUAGAACGUUUGCGCGCGCAUUUUGGCAACAGAAGUAUGGAGGAGAUACACAGCUUGUCAAGCUAUGCAAGGGGAUUAUCAGCUAAAGAUCGCGAAUGUUACUUUAACAAGUUAACUUUAACAAAUGGUGUCCGACUUACAGAUCCGUCUUCUAUUAAUACAUGGGUUGAAGAUGUUAGAAAGUGGCCAAAUAUACAGUGGCCGGAUAUAUAUACCUAUUUAAUUGAGAAACCAAGUGUGUACACCAGAGAGAAAUUACGAGCCUAUAAGUCACUGGAUGCUUAUGAAUACGUUGUCUGUGGACAUGCACAGGAUGUCAAAUACCAUGACAUAGGCUCAGAGUUUUGUGUUUUAAGAGCAGAAGUUCUCCCUAGUCAACGACAAGGACACAAGACAAUGAUGUACGAUGCUUGGGUUAUAAUCAACAAACGAGAAACCUACAUCCUCAGCUAAUUGCACCUGUAUGGCAGGUGUUGACAGAUGAUGACAUUCGGGAACUGCGGGAUGUGGACCCAGGUGCUGCAGUGCUGACAAGCCUUGAAAACAGUGACACGGACACAGCAUCAUCUGACACUGAUUUAGAGGAACAUCCAGACUUACCUGAGCCCUUGACAGCUUUAUGGGAUGCAACACUAAGGGAGCUCUCACCACAGGACAUGCAGGUGAAAUGUGAAGAUACAUUUCAUAAACUAAAAACUACACUACAACCUCAGCAAUGUGAGAAACUGGAAUUUGUGACACGGCAACAGUCAAAGUCAAAUGAGUGGCACACCUAUAGGGCUGGUCGGAUCACAAGCACCAAACUUCACCAUGCAACCACAACUGACAAGAUAAGCAAAACAUACCUAAAUGAUAUAAUGCAGUACAACAAAACAGAGUUAAAUGUCCCAUCUGUGCUCUGGGGUCAAAACAUGGAGGAAACAGCAAGACAAGCCUACACUGCAUUUAUGUCCCAAAGCCAUCCAGAUUUCAGCAUCAGCUCAUGUGGCUUAGUAGUACAACCUUCUGAGCCACACCUUGGAUCAUCGCCAGAUGGGAUUGUAAGAUGUUCCUGCUGUGGCAAAGGGGUGGUAGAGAUAAAGUGUCCCUACAAAUAUAGGAAUAGCCUUCAAGGAUGUACAGAAGACAAGCAGUUUUGUCUGGACAAGUCAUUUUCAUUGAAACAUUCGCACACAUACUAUUAUCAAACUCAACUUCACAUCUUUGUCUGUGAUGUAAGCUAUUGUGACUUUGUGUUGUGGACGAAGGAGAAGUUCAUUGUGCAACGCAUCAUAAGAAAUGAAGAGUUUCUCCAGGAGGCUUUGCCAAAAGCACAUGACUUCUUUAUCUCAAAUGUGUUGCCUGAAUUACUAACAAGAAGACAUGAUCCUGUCUUGGUGUCACAGAGAGCCUGUGAAUACUGUGAAAGACCAGAUUUUGGUAAAAUGAUAAUCUGUGCCAACCACAUUCACUACAGUUGUGCACAAAUAAAAAGGAAGCGGGCAACAUGGUUAUGUAGGAAAUGUGUGAGGGUAGAGGCUUGAAUGCCUUCAUGUAGGAGUGGGCAAUAUGAUGUAUUGUGAUAAAAGACCAUAUAUGGUGUUAGAUGUUGGUUAUGGAAUGUUUUUCCUUUGUUUUUGAAGUUAGAUAAAAGUUAAAUGAUGUACUGACUAUCUACAGUAAUAACUAUUCCAGAUCAUAUAUAUAGGUUAAAGAUCCCAUUGUGUAAAUGUUUGUGUUAUUGACUGCUGUGUCUAUGCACUUCAGUGCAACAAGAUAUUUAAAAGUUGUACUCUUUAAUUCAAUGUAUGUAUCAAUAGAUAUAAUUUAGACCUAAAAGUAUUAUUGUUUACAACAUACAAAACCAGUUUGAUUAUAAUAUAUUGUACAUACUCCUACUAUCCAUGUUGUUAUUGUUUAAUGAAAUGAAAAUGGAAUGAAACUCAUUAGUAACAACAUUACAAAUAAAAAAGUUAAACUACA